Homo sapiens (human) is the source of this 6068-nucleotide long non-coding RNA. RefSeq annotates it as MARCHF3 divergent transcript. Lineage: Eukaryota; Metazoa; Chordata; Mammalia; Primates; Hominidae. The record is from RefSeq and is a predicted model, not a curated record. The transcript has 2 exons.
CUCUGCGGUGACUUCUGCUGUCUUUUGGGUCCGCCAGGAUUCCAAAAUCCCAGGCGGGUCGCUAGAAUUAUCCAUCUUCGUGGACAGGAAGCCCCAGAACGAACCACAUCUGUCCCACUCUGCUUCCGCCCUCCUUCCCCUUCGCAAGCUCCUGGCUGGGAUGGAGACAUCGGACGAGCUCGGAGAUCCCGACCUCUCAGGGGUCACUCGCAGCCGAACAGCCUGGAAUAUGGCCUUGUGGGCCCUUCCCGCCCAACCCCCUAGGACCCCACUGCUCAUCUUGUCAACCAGUUUCUGAGCCCCUACCCUGGCUGCAGCACGUGCUCGCACAGGCGCGCUGAGCUACUAACAUAGAAUCAAAAGCAGGGAGUUGGGUGUUCUUGCUUUCCCGCUGAAACCUAGAAUGUAAACAAGCCCUAGACCGUCAGCUGUGGGUGGGUAGGGGCCUCUCCCUGCCUAGAACUGCUCUUGCCAUGGGUAGGCACCUAACCCGUAUUAGUAAGAAUGAAGGAAUGCAUGCUCAUAACAAGAAAGGGGUCAACCUGCUGCCCUGAUACUCACCUUCACCACUUACGUCUUGCUUCCAGCGCAAGCCCACUUCAGACCAUUGCCUCAUUCAGGUCCCAGAAGUCCUAAGGGUUUUAGUCUCUCAGUAUGGGCAAUUAUUCACAUGUAAGGGAGCUGCAAGGUGUUAUUUCAAUGCCAUCUGGCCUCUAUAAGGUCUUGCAUCAUAGCUGACCUCUCAUGAGAAGGUUCUGAUGAGGUCACCAGGGAGAAGGAAUGUAAAGGGCUGGUGGCUGAAAAGGAGUGAAAUGGCCCCUCUUAGGUGAGCUCUGGCCUGGUUUGAGUUUCAAUUCUGUCUCCUCAGCUCCAUUUCUCAAUGGGAAAAGGUCCAUAGGAAGGUUGUCAGAAGGGCAGGAGACUAGGGCAGGGAUAGCCCUUUGCAGACCCUGAAAAAUUGCUCAGUAAUGCAAACAUUGUCCAUAUUUAAGUUCUUUCUUUUCUUUUCUUUUUUUUUUGAGGCAGAGUCUCACUCUGUCGCCCAGGCUGGAGUGCUAUGGCUUGGCUCACUGCAAGCUCCGCCUCCUGGGUUCACGCCAUUCUCCUGCCUCAGCCUCCCAAGUAGCUGGGACUACAGGCGCCCGCCACUACGCCCGGCUAAUUUUUCGUAUUUUCAGUAGAGACGGGGUUUCACCGUGUUAAUCAGGAUGGUCUCGAUCUCCUGACCUUGUGAUCCGCCCGCCUCGGCCUCCCAAAGUGCUGGGAUUAGAGGCGUGAGCCACUGCGCCCAGCCUUAAGUUCUUUAUUUUCUAUCUUGUGGACCAAAGGACUGCUACAGGCAAGGAAGACCAUCUGACUCAAUUCCAGAGGUUCCUUAGCAUGCUGCUGACUGGCCUAGGAGAAUGGCCUUUGCCCAUAAAGUAUUAGAUGUAGACCACAUGAAUGGAAUAUUCACCAGGUUUCUGCCCAGGUCUGGAUUGGGCAAGGACAUGGCUGGAGGUGCCUUACAGGAGAGAAGGCCAAAGAGAGAGAAGACUUGACUCCCAACCUGAUUCCAGCAGAACUCCACUUUGAUGUGUUUUUAAAAUUGUGCUCUUCUGUUUGCUUUCACGGAGGCUGCCAUGAAACGUCAUCUUUGACUAGAAUUAUCAGGAAAUGCUCAUGGAAGAAAUAUACUUCCUUGGAUUUUUUUUCCUACCACACUUCAGGAUAUAACUAGAGAAAACAUUUGCCAACAGUGCUUAUCAUAUUAGUACCCUGUGAAGGUUUUCAUAGAUGCUGAUUAUUAUUUUUAAAAUCAUUUCGGGAAUAGGAGCCAAACACUAGGUCAUGACUGUACUUACUUUAGUAUUUACAUUAAGUGAUGAAAAAUGGAAAUAAAGGAAAUGUCCUGUCAUGAAACAAGUUAGAAUUAGGUGACUUUCAUGUCCUGAUUUCCAAGGUUUUCUGUUUGUUUCAGACAGACAAGAUCAUCCAUGGGUUCUUGGACAAGUAAUAGGUCUCAUUUUCCCUUGUAGACCAGAAGACAUGGAAAAGACAGCAUAUUCGGACUAUAUUCAUAUUUCCAUACCAUCUUUUGUUGUAAUUGAUUUUCAACAAGAGCCCCUAACAAUCUCUUGAGUUUGGGCCAUCCCCAUAUUCUACAAGGGAAAAUGAGAUCUCUUACUACUCCAAUAACCCAUGCUUACACUAUCUGUAUGGAACAAACAGAGAACCAUCAAAAUCUGAACGCAGAAGUCACUUAUUUAGUCCCAAUCUAUUUUGUGAAAGAAAAUUUCUUUUACUCAAAGAGAUGAAGAAAUUUACGGAAUGGCUUGGGAAUGAGAAGAUUCAGGUGGGACCAUGGAAGCAAAGCUUGUUCUUUUGUGGAUGGUAAGAUUGUCUUCAGGCACUGUCACUCCUUUAUGACACUAAAACAGUAUUUUAGAAUCCCCUAAAUUUCAAUAGGAUGUGAUUGGUAGGAGCCAUGGGUUCUAAUCUUAACAGCUGCUGUGGUGGGUGCUCCUGGCAGUCACUCAUCCUUUGUUAUCUCUUCCUUCUUUGGCCAUAAAACAGUAGUGGCAGAAUUGGCCCACUAUGUGUAGCUGCAUAAAGGGGACAUCAUGACAAUGGUUAUGAAGCACUGCAAAUGCAUUGCAUUUACAGUAGUACUGCCUGCUAAAAAGGAGAUGAAAAUGAUGUUGAGAUGGGAAAAUAGUGUGGUAUGAACAAUUCCUAUUUACAUGUGCAAUUUACAUUUUUCUUUCCAUUUACAUGUGCAAUUUCCUCCUUCCUUCCCUUUCCUCCCUCCCUUCCUGUCUCUCUCUCUCUCUCUUUCCCUCUUUCUCUCUUUCGUUCUCAGACUCACACUCUGUCACCCAGGCUGGAGUGCAGUGGUGCAAUCUUGGCUCACUACAACCUCCACCUCCCAAGUUCAGGUGAUUCCUUUGCCUCAGCCACCCGAGUACCUGGGAGUACAGGCGUGGGCCACCACGCCUGGCUCAUUUUUGUAUUUAUAGUAGAGACGGGGUUUUGCCAUGUUGGUCAGGCUGGUUUCCAACUCCUGGCCUCAAGUCAUCUGCCCACCUCAACCUCCCAAAGUGCUGGGAUUAUAGGUGUGAGCCAUCACGCCCAGCCCAUUUAUUUUAAUGUCAUUAGAUUAUUGUCCUUUCAGUAUUUAAGUGGAAAUGAGAGGAAACCAUCUUUAUUCUUUAAGGAGGAAUACAGCUUCUAAAAGUUUUGGUUACCUAAAGUUUUUGAAGGUGUAAUAGGAAUGAGUUACCAGAACAGGAAGAAUUGUAGAAGCAGACCUAGAGUUGAGGAAAAUUUUACUUACAUGGAUAGUAUUUUUUUCCUCUCCCUGGCUCCUACCACCUCUCUCAACAUAUAUUUACUGAGAAAGUUGUUCACAAUUUAAAGAGGUUGAGCUAAAGAUCUUAGCAAAGAAAUGCAAUCAAUGCAAUCAAAGCUGGAGAUUCGUUUUUUUUUUUUUUUUUUUUUUGAGACAGAGUCUUGCUCUGUCACUAACGCUGGAGUGCAGUGGUGCGAUCUUAGCUCACUACAACCUCUGUCUCCCUGGUUCAAGCGAUUCUCCUGUCUCAGCCUCCUAAGUAGCUGGGACAACAGGCACAUGCCGCCAGGCCCAGCUAAUUUUUGUAUUUUCAGUAGAGACAGGGUUUCGCCAUGUUGGUCAGGCUGGUCUUGAGCUCCUGACCUCAAGUGAUCCACCUACCUUGGCCUCCCAAAAUGCUGGGAUUACAAGUGUGAGCCACCGUGCCUGGCCCAGAAGCUGCAGAUUCUAAUACUAGCUUUGCAAUGUAUUCAUUCUGAUACCUUGGGCACGUCAUCAACCUUCCAUAUCUUAGUUUCCUAUCUGGGAAACUGCAGUGGUACUUAUGACCAAUUUCACAGAGAUGACAGCAAUAACUAAUGAUAGGCACUUAGAUUUUAGACUUAAUGGGAGUUAGUUCCCUUGACACAGCAGUAUGGGAACAAUAACUGGCCAGCCAAUGAGUGAAAAAGCUGGAUUAUCCCUUAGAAAUGAAUUGUAUCAUUACUGAUUAUGAAUACACCAAAUUAUGACAGAUUCACAUGUAAGAAUGCCAGGGAAAAGUAGCCGUGAGCUAUAAUAUACAAAAUUGUUUAUUACCCAAGAGAAUCUAGGUGCUAAUACGGAUGGUACUACACCUGUGAAAUUCUGAAACCCUUGAAGGAUUUGAAGAUAUAAAGCCAAAUAAAACAUAAUACAGAGGGAAAUGAUUUUGAUUAUGUAACAUUUAUAUAUAGCAUUUGUUUUUACAUUUUCAAAUUGCUUUUCAGUCAUUGGUUUAUUCUUCACAGCACACCUGGGGAGUACAUCUGUGCAUUUAUCCUCUGUUCACAGCUGAGGCAACUGAGACUGAAACAGGCAAAGUGGUUUGUCCAAGAGCAAAGCCAGGGGCAGGGAAGUUUGAAAGAAAGAAAAAUAUGCCAAGAUGAUUAAGUUUCACCUAAGAUUUUAAAGCUCCCACCUAAAAGAUGUGGAAAACAAGCACUAUACCAGGAUAUUGUACCUUAUUUCUGCCCUGUCUUAAAAACACCAUGACAUUUUCCUUGAUUUCAAGAAUACAGAAAAUGAACAUGGUCCUUUAAAUUAUGUGACUCUUUCGAAGCAAAAUGACAACAAGGAAAAACCACAUUUGUUUUCUGCCUCCCUUUUUCAAGAAGCUGAAAAUAUAGUGUAAAUGAACUCUUGGUCGUGGGUCAACAUCCUUACAAUACCUGCCCCUCGUUCUCAGGUUAGAGAUUUCUCCUCUGCCUUUUCAUUCUCACCCACACCCAACUUGAAAUAGGUCUCCAGGUCCCAUUUUGAUCACAUAUUCUUUCAGUCACAUGCGGAACAUGAGAAGGGGUUAAAUGUAGCUCUGCAAGACCAGCAAAACUCAUCACUAAACUGGAAAACAACUUCAGGCUUACUAUCAACAGGGGGUAGUUAGCAUCAGUUUAAAGACUGUGAAUGUGCACAAAUGUUUUCUAAGAAUAUUUUUCAGAAGAGUGUAAUUAUAGGUAUAAUCUCUAAUUGCAUUAUAAAUGAUAAAUAAGAGACGGUUAGCAAACUAUAUUUCAGGGCUGUUUGCUGUACUUAUCUGCUGCCAUCACUGGCCCUGUCUUCCUUUGUGACUGCAGACUGUGUUGUUUAUUAGUCUUGGUGGUAAGGGGGAAUUGCUGUACAGUACUUUUGUGUUAGGACAGGAUCUUACAGAUGAUAAUGAAGGUUGCAGGAAGGACUGUUGAAACGUUUUAUUUUGGUAUUUGUUUCAUUUUUAAAGGCUGUGACUAGGACUUCAUACCUGUCUAAUAAGCAUGCAUGUAACAUUUUUAUAUUUGCUGAGUGCUUCAUAGUCCUCCAUUAGUCCCCACAAUACCCCUUGAGGGUAGGUCAGUAUUACAGUUUACAAUAUGAGGAAAUUUAAGAUACAAAGGGAUUAUGUGAUUUGUACAAGGUCACCCAGCAUGCAAGCCUAGCUAAUAAAAUAUGACUACAAAGCUCUUUCCAAAUAAAAAGUACCUUAUAAAUGUUAGGUAGUAUUAAUGGGUAUGAUCCCAGAAUGAGUAAAAUACUCUUCAGGAGUAAAGUGCUCAUACAUGGUAUAUAAUAUUAAUUCUCUCUCUUUUUUUUUUUUUUUUUUUAACCUGUGGGUGACUUUUGAAAUAGUUAUUCUUGAACCUGGCUAUGCAUCAGAAAUGUCUCUAGAGUUUUUAGAACAUGUGAGCACAUAGACCCCUACUCAGCCGACAGAAUCAUAAUCUGGGCAGUGGGAUUUAGAUAAUUAUGCCUUGAAAAAUCUCCAUGGGGGAUUUGGAUGCUCAGUCAGAGCUGAGAACCACUACUCUAGGCUAGAAGAGUAACAUCGGUCAGGCCAAGAGCAACAACAAAACACUGUGGAGUUAAUUCAGAAGAGAAAGUCUGGUGUCUUCCAGGCCUCUGUCCAGCCAGUUCACAACUAUUAUUAGCAGAGGAACUGCCUCCCUGAAAUAAUCAACUGUAAUAACCAUGUGUGAAAUUCCCGGAAAUAGUGCAGAGAUUAAAGUUUAUUUAAGAACCGUCA